This 459-nucleotide ribosomal RNA is filed under the name uncultured bacterium. RNAcentral describes it as "partial 16S ribosomal RNA". It matches the Rfam family "Bacterial small subunit ribosomal RNA", at positions 338 to 795 of the family's 1533-position model. The record is from RNAcentral.
CCUACGGGUGGCAGCAGUGAGGAAUAUUGGUCAAUGGGCGGAAGCCUGAACCAGCCAAGUAGCGUGAGGGAUGAAGGCCCUACGGGUUGUAAACCGCUUUUGCAGGGGAAUAAAACGCACCACGUGUGGAGUGCUGCAGGUACCAUGCGAAUAAGGGCCGGCUAAUUCCGUGCCAGCAGCCGCGGUAAUACGGAGGUUCCGAGCGUUAUCCGGAUUUAUUGGGUUUAAGGGGAGCGUAGGCGGUCGUUCAAGUCAGCUGUAAAAGCGCGCGGCUCAACCGCGACCUGCAGUUGAAACUUGCAGCCUUGAGUUCACGACAGGUAGGCGGAAUUCGUGGUGUAGCGGUGAAAUGCAUAGAUAUCACGCGGAACCCCGAUUGCGAAGGCAGCCUACCGGGGUGCGACUGACGCUGAGGCUCGAACGUGUGGGUAUCAAACAGGAUUAGAUACCCUAGUAGUC